Molecule: long non-coding RNA, 322 nt
Filed under: Malus domestica (apple)
Lineage: Eukaryota; Viridiplantae; Streptophyta; Magnoliopsida; Rosales; Rosaceae
Description: long non-coding RNA (MDOM_LNC006318)
Source: RNAcentral
UAGUAACUCAGUCGAGAAGUUUAAGAAAGAGCCAACCUGGAUUCCAUCCGGUCGGCCUGAUACAGAAAUAAUCCCUGAACCAUGGGCACCUAAAGAGGUAUUUAACAUAUCAUCUAUUGAUCAAGCUGCAGAAGAUCUGAAGCCUUUGACAGAUAGCACUAGUAAAGAUGUGAAUACGCCUAGUGCUGAAGCUGCAAUUGAGUCGAAGAUUUUAACGGAGAGCAAUGGUCAGGAUGAAAAUAUCUCAUCCUCAAACGGGGUUUUGAGCCAAAAGGAAGAUUUAACAACCAAUGACAACCAGAAAUCUAACAGGAAAGCUUCU